ACACAUGCAGUCGAACGAUGAUCAGGAGCUUGCUCCUGUGAUUAGUGGCGAACGGGUGAGUAACACGUGAGUAACCUGCCCCUGACUCUGGGAUAAGCGUUGGAAACGACGUCUAAUACUGGAUAUGAUCACUGGUCGCAUGGCCUGGUGGUGGAAAGAUUUUUUGGUUGGGGAUGGACUCGCGGCCUAUCAGCUUGUUGGUGAGGUAAUGGCUCACCAAGGCGACGACGGGUAGCCGGCCUGAGAGGGUGACCGGCCACACUGGGACUGAGACACGGCCCAGACUCCUACGGGAGGCAGCAGUGGGGAAUAUUGCACAAUGGGCGAAAGCCUGAUGCAGCAACGCCGCGUGAGGGAUGACGGCCUUCGGGUUGUAAACCUCUUUUAGUAGGGAAGAAGGGAGCUUCGGUUCUUGACGGUACCUGCAGAAAAAGCACCGGCUAACUACGUGCCAGCAGCCGCGGUAAUACGUAGGGUGCAAGCGUUGUCCGGAAUUAUUGGGCGUAAAGAGCUCGUAGGCGGUUUGUCGCGUCUGCUGUGAAAUCCCGAGGCUCAACCUCGGGCUUGCAGUGGGUACGGGCAGACUAGAGUGCGGUAGGGGAGAUUGGAAUUCCUGGUGUAGCGGUGGAAUGCGCAGAUAUCAGGAGGAACACCGAUGGCGAAGGCAGAUCUCUGGGCCGUAACUGACGCU
Molecule: ribosomal RNA, 691 nt
Filed under: bacterium 131_xplvp388
Lineage: Bacteria
Also listed under: 1 other name
Description: bacterial SSU rRNA
Rfam family: Bacterial small subunit ribosomal RNA
Source: RNAcentral